UACGUAGGGUGCGAGCGUUGUCCGGAAUUACUGGGCGUAAAGAGUUCGUAGGCGGUUUGUCGCGUCGUUCGUGAAAACUUGGGGCUUAACUCCAAGCGUGCGGGCGAUACGGGCAGACUUGAGUACUACAGGGGAGACUGGAAUUCCUGGUGUAGCGGUGAAAUGCGCAGAUAUCAAGAGGAACACCUGCGGCGAAGGCGGGUUGCUGGGCCGACACUGACGCUGAGGCGCGAAAGCUAGGGGAGCGAACGGG
This 253-nucleotide ribosomal RNA is filed under the name uncultured bacterium. RNAcentral's name for it is "partial 16S ribosomal RNA". It matches the Rfam family "Bacterial small subunit ribosomal RNA", at positions 524 to 776 of the family's 1533-position model. The record is from RNAcentral.